AAGCCGAGGAUUGUGCUCAGUGGCGAGCAA
This 30-nucleotide small RNA is filed under the name Bombyx mori (domestic silkworm). Its description in RNAcentral is "ovarian small RNA-4284". The record is from RNAcentral. Lineage: Eukaryota; Metazoa; Arthropoda; Insecta; Lepidoptera; Bombycidae.